CCAAUAGCGUAUAUUAAAGUUGCUGCAGUUAAAAAGCUCGUAGUUGAAUUUCGGGACCAUCAUGUCGGUCGUGCCUCGGUACGUACUGGCAUUGUUGGUUUCUCCCUUCUGACGAACCAUGAUGUCAUUUAUUUGGUGUUGUGGGGAAUCAGGACUGUUACUUUGAAAAAAUUAGAGUGUUUAAAGCAGGCUCACGCUUGAAUACAUUAGCAUGGAAUAAUGAAAUAGGACGUUUGAUUCUAUUUUGUUGGUUUCUAGGAUCGACGUAAUGAUUAAUAGGGAUAGUUGGGGGCAUUAGUAUUCAAUUGUCAGAGGUGAAAUUCUUGGAUUUAUUGAAGACUAACUACUGCGAAAGCAUUUGCCAAGGAUGUUUUCAUUAAUCAAGAACGAAAGUUAGGGGAUCGAAGACGAUCAGAUACCGUCGUAGUCUUAACCAUAAACUAUGCCGACUAGGGAUCGGAUGAUGUUAAUUUUAUAAUGACUCAUUCGGCGCCUUACG
RNAcentral lists this ribosomal RNA (499 nucleotides) under uncultured Glomeromycotina. RNAcentral describes it as "partial small subunit ribosomal RNA". It matches the Rfam family "Eukaryotic small subunit ribosomal RNA", at positions 591 to 1092 of the family's 1831-position model. The record is from RNAcentral. Lineage: Eukaryota; Fungi; Glomeromycota.